Long non-coding RNA from Homo sapiens (human), 1036 nucleotides. Ensembl annotates it as MIR1-1 host gene. Its record names the gene MIR1-1HG. Lineage: Eukaryota; Metazoa; Chordata; Mammalia; Primates; Hominidae. The record is from Ensembl.
GCUCCUGACCCGAGGGGGGCCCCCACGCCCGCUCUGGCCUCUCAGGUCAGGCCCUCCCCUCCCCUCCCCUCCCCUCCCCCGCCCCUGUGUCUCCGCGAGCCGGCUGUGUGCCUGCGAGAGCGUGCACACCCGCGGGACCUUCCCUUUUGUUCCACCCUGACCUCUACCUUCUCUACCUUGUGCUGACCCCGCUGGGGUGCAGGGGUUCCCUUCGGAGGAGGCCGGGGCUCAAGUGCGGACGCAUCGAGCUUCGGCCCCCACCCCUGCAUUCGCGAUUGGCUCCCGGAGGAGGUGGCUGGUGCUGCCGCCGCUGCAGCAUCUCCUAGGGAGCCGCGACCCUGCGCCCGCCGCCGCUGCCGCUGUCACCAGCCCGGCCCCAGGGGUGCCCUGGGCUCCGCGGCUGAGGCACCUAGGGAGUUGCCCCCCUAGUGGACGGCCUCUCAGGAGAUCCUGACCACCCUCUGGGAACCUGGACUCCUCCAAGCAUCGUCUUUCUCGCCUGCAUCUUCGGAGAGAGGUGCUGAGCCCUUCCUCAUGGAUACGGGGUCCCGGGAGGCAGCCUUCACCAGGGACCUGCCCAGGAAACCAGCAGAUGCCCAGCUGUAGCUGUGCAUUGAUGGCGCCGUGCGGCCCGGCCGCAGGUCCCGCAGCCGUGGAGAGGACCCAGCAGGUGGCGCGGGGAGAGCCCGGCUCGGCACGUGGUCAGCUCCAAGUCAGCCCUGAAAUGUCCAUUACUCACAAAGAAAAGGAAAAUGCUCAUUUGAAAGAAAUUCUUCUCUUUGUCAAUGCUGAGGCAUUCUCUCAGCCCCAGCCCCACAGUGCUCCAGUGUGUGAAGGGCAACAGCUGACGGGGAAGUUCAGCACAUCUGUGCUGACCAGGGCUGGAGGCGAUGCCAGUCCGUGCAGCUGGGAACGCCUCCUCUGCUAUGGCUGGAGCCACUGCUGAAGGGACUCCACCUGGCACCUAUGCCACCAAUGGCCCCUGAACGGGUAUCUAGGCCCACCCUUAAUAAAGAUGAGCUGCUCAUUCCCAGUU